UAAAGACCUAAAAAUAAGCCGGAUAAUAAAAUCAAUAGAUUAAAAUCCAAAGAAUAUGGCGGUGUUUUUAUAUAAUCAGGGGAACCUGUUUCUUAAUUCGAUAUUCCACGAUAGUUCAACCUAUUUAACCAGCCUGUGUACUGCUGUCGUCAGUAAACCUAUAAAAGAAGUUUACAAUAAAUAACAACUAUUUUACGUCAAGUCAAAGUGCAGCCAAUAAAUAGGAGAUAAUGGGUUACAAUCUUAACUAAAGAAUACGAAUAAAUAAAAUAAAAAUAUUUUGAAGGUGGACUUGAAAGUAAUAUUUAAAAAACAUUAAUAUAAAAAUUUCUAAAACAUGUACACAUCGCCCGUCACUCUCGUCCAAGAUG
Molecule: ribosomal RNA, 371 nt
Filed under: Fridericia sardorum
Lineage: Eukaryota; Metazoa; Annelida; Clitellata; Enchytraeida; Enchytraeidae
Description: partial 12S ribosomal RNA
Source: RNAcentral